CGAAGGGGGCUAGCGUUGUUCGGAAUUACUGGGCGUAAAGCGUGCGCAGGCGGCUAUCCAAGUCAGUGGUGAAAGCCCGGAGCUCAACUCCGGAACUGCCAUUGAAACUGUUUAGCUCGAGUACGAGAGAGGUGAGUGGAAUUCCCAGUGUAGAGGUGAAAUUCGUAGAUAUUGGGAAGAACACCGGUGGCGAAGGCGGCUCACUGGCUCGUAACUGACGCUCAUGCACGACAGCGUGGGGAUCAAACAGGAUUAGAUACCCUGGUAGUCCACGCCGUAAACUAUGGACGCUAGCCGUUAGGCAGCUUGCUGCUUAGUGGCGCAGCUAACGCAUUAAGCGUCCCGCCUGGGGAGUACGGCCGCAAGGUUG
Molecule: ribosomal RNA, 370 nt
Filed under: uncultured organism
Description: bacterial SSU rRNA
Rfam family: Bacterial small subunit ribosomal RNA
Source: RNAcentral